This 61-nucleotide transfer RNA is filed under the name Hadesarchaea archaeon. RNAcentral describes it as "tRNA-Met". It matches the Rfam family "tRNA", at positions 8 to 63 of the family's 71-position model. From Rfam's summary of the family: Transfer RNA (tRNA) molecules are approximately 80 nucleotides in length. Their secondary structure includes four short double-helical elements and three loops (D, anti-codon, and T loops). Lineage: Archaea; Methanobacteriati; Hadarchaeota (SeqCode); Hadarchaeia (SeqCode). The record is from RNAcentral.
UAGCUCAGCCUGGUUAGAGCGCAGGACUCAUAAUCCUGAGGUUCGCGGGUUCGAUCCCCGC